Molecule: long non-coding RNA, 315 nt
Filed under: Elaeis guineensis (African oil palm)
Lineage: Eukaryota; Viridiplantae; Streptophyta; Magnoliopsida; Arecales; Arecaceae
Description: long non-coding RNA (EGUI_LNC052654)
Source: RNAcentral
CCAGAGCAUGGCCCAAGCCCACGCACAGGCCGGCCCAAGCCCAUGCACCACUAGGAGCCUGAUUGCCUGAUCCACCAUGGAUCGGGCGGUGCACAAGAGUCUGCAUGGACCGUAGAGGCAUUUUCCAUGCAUUUUGUGUGGUAUACAGCACUGUUUCGUGGAUCGAAGCAUGAUCAAAGGACAUAGGUUGAUCAUGAUCUCGAUCCGAUAGCUUAGGGGGUUUUAUGGGCUUGAUUGGGUCUGAUUAGGAGUCCUAAACCCAAUCUAAGUCAUAUUUAAAGCCUGUGAAUGUGAACAGAAGAGGGAUGGUGGCUG